Siniperca chuatsi (mandarin fish) is the source of this 641-nucleotide long non-coding RNA. RefSeq lists it as uncharacterized. The record is from RefSeq and is a predicted model, not a curated record. The transcript is spliced from 3 exons. NCBI's taxonomy places the organism in Eukaryota, Metazoa, Chordata, Actinopteri, Centrarchiformes, Sinipercidae.
CCAUCUUUUUACAGGACAUGAGGAGACAACGCCACAGUAUAGUCAUCUGUUCUCCAGUAAGCAGAGCUGUCGCUCUGCCAAAGAAAGCAGAGUCCGGCCUAGCUGCAUGGGCUCCGGGUCAUCGCUAUGGGCACUAGGAGCUGAAGCCGGAGGUGGAGCCGGGUAUGAGGAUGGCAGACGUGGCGGACCUCUGGGGCUGUCAAACAGGGCUCACUCUCUCUUCUGCGGAACGUGGAUGUCUGACUUUGCAAAAUCAGCGACCGCGUGAUACAGCUAGCACCAUUACAGCCUGUGGCCAUGGCAGAAGAGCAAGUUCAACCGAUCACUAAUCCAGUCUUUUUUGACCGCACCAGGCGACCCUCCUCUGCAGUGGAAAAUAUGGAAAAGCACCUUACCUGCUAGCUGCAGGAUUAACCAAGGUCCCGAAGGAGCAACAGUUGGUGAUUCUUCUUCACUGUUUGGGGACAGAGGGACAACGCAUCUUUGCCAUGCUACCAGGUACUCUUGCUGCUGCUGAUGUGAUACUUCGCCCCGAUUGUUCCGCACACUGACAUUCAUCUGGAGAUUUGCGGGCAACAAUCCCCCCAGAAACCUGUCCGAGGUCUUCAUAUCCACCUCAGCAAUCUCACUAAGGUCACAGU